ACGGAGGGUGCAAGCGUUGUUCGGAAUUAUUGGGCGUAAAGCGCGCGUAGGCGGGACGUUAAGUCCGAUGUGAAAUCCCUCGGCUCAACCGAGGACGUGCAUUGGAUACUGGCGUUCUUGAGUCCUGGAGAGGGUGGCGGAAUUCCCAGUGUAGAGGUGAAAUUCGUAGAUAUUGGGAGGAACACCGGCGGCGAAGGCGGCCACCUGGACAGUGACUGACGCUGAGGCGCGAAAGCAUGGGUAGCAAACAGG
RNAcentral lists this ribosomal RNA (252 nucleotides) under uncultured bacterium. RNAcentral describes it as "partial 16S ribosomal RNA". It matches the Rfam family "Bacterial small subunit ribosomal RNA", at positions 525 to 776 of the family's 1533-position model. The record is from RNAcentral.